UACGUAGGGGGCUAGCGUUGUCCGGAAUCAUUGGGCGUAAAGCGCGUGUAGGCGGUCCGGUAAGUCCGCUGUGAAAGUCGAGGGCUCAACCCUCGAAUGCCGGUGGAUACUGUCGGGCUAGAGUGCGGAAGAGGCGAGUGGAAUUCCUGGUGUAGCGGUGAAAUGCGCAGAUAUCAGGAGGAACACCGGUGGCGAAGGCGGGUCUCUGGGCCGUAACUGACGCUGAGGAGCGAAAGCGUGGGGAGCAAACAGG
This 253-nucleotide ribosomal RNA is filed under the name uncultured bacterium. Its description in RNAcentral is "partial 16S ribosomal RNA". It matches the Rfam family "Bacterial small subunit ribosomal RNA", at positions 524 to 776 of the family's 1533-position model. The record is from RNAcentral.